Molecule: RNA transcript, 2709 nt
Organism: Herpailurus yagouaroundi (jaguarundi)
Lineage: Eukaryota; Metazoa; Chordata; Mammalia; Carnivora; Felidae
Gene: SYT10
Gene name: synaptotagmin 10
Exons: 8
Source: RefSeq, a predicted model, not a curated record
GGCUUUUUCACGUCUCCCCAACCCCCUACCCUUCCUCUCCGCACUCCAUGCCGGGUCUCUCUCUCCAGCUCGCCGCGUCUGGCUGGCUCCCACCGCAGGAGACUUGGCGCAAACCUAACCGCCGCCGCCUCGCGCGCUUCCAGCCCCAGCCUCUCCGCCUUCCCCUGCGCCCCCCUCUCGCGCCAUGGGGCCAACCUGCGGCUCCUAAGAGUUGCCGCUGGGAGCAGCGCGCUCUCCCGCCCAUUUCCCCACGAGCGGGCGAUGGCUUAGGGCGCCAGAGGGGCCAGCCCAGAGGUACCGGGAAGGGGAAAUUCGGCCGGCCGACUGGGGAAAAAGAGGCCAACCAUGAGUUUCCACAAGGAGGACGGAGUGAGCAGCCUGUGCCAGAAGGCGCUGCACAUCGUCACCGAGCUGUGCUUCGCGGGCCAGGUGGAGUGGGAAAAGUGCUCGGGCAUCUUCCCCCGGGACAGGGGCAGCCAGGGCGGAAGCAGCACAGAUAUUUCGGUCAGCUUGUUAGCAGUGGUUGUCAGCUUCUGUGGCCUGGCCUUGUUGGUUGUCUCACUUUUUGUCUUCUGGAAGUUGUGCUGGCCUUGUUGGAAAAGCAAACCUGUGACUUCCAACGUCAGUACCCUUCCACAGAGCAUUUCAAGUGCUCCUACUGAAGUCUUUGAGACCGAAGAGAAAAAAGAAGUUCAAGAAAAUGAAAAGCCAGCUCUAAAAGCUGUUGAGCCUGCUAUAAAAAUCAGCCACACUUCCCCUGAUAUCCCAGCAGAAGUCCAAAAUGCUUUAAAAGAACAUUUAAUUAAACAUGCACGUGUGCAAAGACAAAUUACUGAACCUACAUCCUCAUCCCGCCACAAUUCCUUCAGGAGACACCUACCAAGGCAAAUGCAGGUUUCCAGUGUUGAUUUUAGCAUGGGCACAGAAUCAGUUUUACAAAGAGGAGAAACAACAACCAGCAUUGGGAGGAUAAAACCAGAGCUCUACAAACAGAAAUCUGUUGACUCUGAGGGCAACAGGGAAGAAGAUGUCAAAACCUGUGGGAAACUUAACUUCACCCUCCAGUAUGACUAUGAAAAUGAACUUCUGAUUGUUAAAAUUAUCAAAGCCUUAGAUCUCCCUGCUAAAGACUUCACAGGCACUUCUGACCCUUAUGUGAAGAUGUAUCUUCUUCCAGAUAGGAAAAAGAAAUUUCAGACCCGUGUGCACAGAAAGACUUUAAAUCCUCUAUUUGAUGAAACUUUUCAGUUUCCUGUAGCAUAUGAUCAACUAAGCAACCGAAAACUACAUUUCAGUGUAUAUGAUUUUGACAGAUUUUCUAGACAUGACAUGAUUGGGGAAGUGAUUCUUGAUAAUUUGUUUGAAGUCUCUGAUCUCUCCAGGGAAGCCACAGUGUGGAAAGAUAUUCAUUGUGCUACCACAGAAAGUAUAGAUCUGGGUGAAAUCAUGUUCUCCCUUUGUUAUUUGCCAACUGCUGGACGUAUGACAUUGACAGUCAUCAAGUGCAGAAAUCUGAAGGCUAUGGAUAUCACUGGGUCAUCAGAUCCUUAUGUCAAAGUGUCUCUGAUGUGUGAAGGUCGGAGAUUAAAAAAGAGGAAAACAACGACGAAGAAAAACACUCUAAACCCUGUGUACAACGAGGCUAUUAUUUUCGAUAUCCCUCCAGAGAAUGUGGACCAGGUCAGCCUCUCCAUUGCGGUCAUGGAUUAUGAUAGGGUAGGACACAAUGAGGUCAUAGGAGUGUGUAGAACAGGACUGGACGCUGAGGGUCUUGGGCGAGACCACUGGAAUGAAAUGCUGGCCUAUCACCGAAAACCAAUAACACAUUGGCACCCCUUGCUGGAGUCACUGUAGGACAUACAGGAAGAACAAGCUACAAUCUGGGCAUCAGAAGAAGAUCCCUGAUAUUUUUAUAGCAGCUGAGUAUCAGAGGACAAAUGGGACUAAAGACUAUGUAAAUAUACUUUCUCCAGCAAGUAGCUCCUUUUUUCCAACUCCUGCACCUACAUUCAUUGGUCAAACAGAACAUAUGGACUAGAGACCUAAGAACUGGCUGGAUUUUGCAUUUUGGGAAAGUGGUGAGUGUAUAACUAUGUCUUUUGUUGCCAGAGGAGGGAUUAAAAUAAUAAAGGAACAAUUACUCGAAAACAGGGUAAGUUGGUGGGACAGAGACUAAAGCAUCAUUUAGAAAAUCUGGCUACUUCUACCUAAAUAAUCAAAAGUUUAUCCUGUUGUAAUUGAACUUUUUAAAUACAUGUAAUAUUUAAGAACCAUGAGAAAUUAUUCUUCAACCCCCAUGGCUCCCAUUUGCCAACGUCAGUCCCUGUUGUUUCGUUAAUGACCCUGAUAAAAAUCACCUCCUGCCUUAGAACAAGUGCAAUGUGGUCUCUUGUGCCUUGAGCCUUCUUGCGCUUACCUAGCAACUGUUCUCCACUAUCACAAACCAUUAAUUAUUUUGCAGUGAGAACAUUCAUAGAAUGUGAAAUGAAUCUCUAGUCAUGAAUAAUUGUGUGUACAGUGUUGGUCUGCAUGCCAUUUUGUACCAUGCUGUGUCUACAUCUCCGUGAGAUGUCUGUGCCCCAUCGUGCUGCCUGAGAAGUUACCUGGCCGGGCAACCAGUUUUGAUAGUCAAGGAUCCUGUCCAUCUCCCAAACCACCUUCCACACCAUAAUGCCUCCAGAAUAAAGACCAUUUUAAUAAGGACCCAGG